RNAcentral lists this long non-coding RNA (1074 nucleotides) under Phasianus colchicus (ring-necked pheasant). RNAcentral's name for it is "lncRNA (ENSPCLG00000011640.1)". The record is from RNAcentral. Lineage: Eukaryota; Metazoa; Chordata; Aves; Galliformes; Phasianidae.
AUGGCAAGGAAGGAAAGAAAAAUACCAGUGUCAGGUUCCCCCCGGCAGAUACCCGCAGCCGGGCCUCACCGCCCUCGCGUCUUUGUGAAGCGCCCGGCCGCCCGCUGCCUCUCCCCUCUCCCUCCCUCCGUUCGGUGGCCGCGGGGGACCGAGAUCCGGGCCGUGCGCCCACCGCCAAAGGGACACACGGGGACACACGGGGACCGGCACAGCGCGGCAGCCGCAGCAUCCCCACGGCGGCGGAGCGCCGGGAGACAGAUGGCAGCCCGGGCUCAGCGAGCAGAGCCGCCCAAGCGCCUUAACGCCGGGAUCUCAUCCGCUCGCUCCUCUUCUCGGAGGUUCUCUCCUUUAGGAGCCGGAGGCCCCGGCAGAAGGGCAUCUCCGUUCGGGAUUUUUUGCCUCUCCAGAAGCGUCGACUCAGCGAAUAGCUGCUCGGACCGCAGAGCCGCGCAGAGCCGCGCACACCCUGCGGGCCGCGGUGCCACCCGCUGCGGGCAGCGCGCGGCCCGGCAACAAGCGAGGCGCCCCCGGAGCGCGGCGCUGCCCACCGCCCACCCCCCAGCGCGGUGCUCCCCGGGCGGGGCGCGCAGCCCCCGCAGCGCCGCGCGGAGCCGAGCCCCGGGCUGCCGGAGCGCCGCGCCCGCACUCACCGAGCAGCAGCAGCGCCCGCACCGCCGCCAUCCUCGCCCCGCGCCGCUCACAGCGCGCCCCGCGCCCGGGCCAUGCCGCUACCGCCGCCCCGCCCGCCGCCGCCGCCGCCGGGAGGGGCUUCCGGGGGAGGGCCGGGCGGCGGAAACCGGGCGGGGCCCGGGGAGGGAGGGGAGCGCCUCCCUCCGUUGGGUCUGCCGGAGGGGCUGCCCCCCGGCCCACGUGUGCCCCGUGCCCGCGAGGCCGCCGAGCCCCGGCCGCCGCCGCCGCGGGGAAACCGCCGCUUCCCGCCGCCCGAACCCCAGCGCUGCGGUUGCGGCCGGGGUCGGGGCAGCCUCGAGUGGAAGUUGGAAGCGGGUCCCGCCGAGGCUCUCCCGCGGCUUCCCCGCUCCCCGCAGCAAGGGACCCACGGCCGCAGCGGUGUGA